UCGCACUCGAAUCUAUUUAAAUUAUUCGACCUCAUCCCUGGCUUGGAGUCUGUAUUUCCAGCCAAUAACCAUCGAAUGGGUUUCCGAAACGAAUACUCCUUUGUAGUUCAGUAUGCAUGGCCACAAAGUGCUGCCUAUGCUCGGGAGAAGCUCGAUGGAUUCGAAUACCCACCAGGGUACCCGGUUCUUAUCAAGCCAGAGUAUUACGAAGUCGAGAUCGAGACAUGAGCUUCGGGAGAAAUCAGAGGAAUAAUUUGCUGCCAGCUGACCCUGGAGUGUCUGCUGAUCAUUUACUCUCUAUUACAAAAGCACUGUCUCAGGCAACAGCAUUAUUAAAAGCAGCUGGACUCUCGACAGACGGAAUUGAGCUGAACGAUUUGCCUAAUCAGUACGGUUCUCUAAGGCUGCCUCCUCCUCAACCCCUUGCUCCUGCUGGGACAACUUCAGAAAUCAGGUUAUUUAUUGUAGCUCAACCUGCGUUGCCACCGAUGCAUAUAAUCCGAGAUAUAUUCUGCCGAUUCGGUCAUAUAACUGACAUCCAUGUUCUCCAUGGGAAAAAUUGCGGUUACGUCUCUUAUGCCAAAAAGACAGUGGAGCGAAUGCCAUCUUGCACUUGCACGGUCAAGAAAUCGGGCAGUCAAGGUUGA
RNAcentral lists this long non-coding RNA (647 nucleotides) under Bemisia tabaci. RNAcentral's name for it is "lncRNA ENSSSA2NGG013003". The record is from RNAcentral. Lineage: Eukaryota; Metazoa; Arthropoda; Insecta; Hemiptera; Aleyrodidae.